GACGAACGCUGGCGGCGUGCUUAACACAUGCAAGUCGAACGGAAAGGCCUUCUUUCCCUUGUGGUUUGCGGGUACUCUAGUGGCGAACGGGGGAGUACCACGUGAUUGAUCUGCCCCCAACUUGUGUAUAAGCCUGGGAAACUGUGUCUAAUUCCCGAUAGUACUGCUGGGUGGUGCCGGUGGUGGGACACGAUGUGCUAGUGGUAGGGGAUGAGCUGGCGGCCUAUCAGCUGGUUGGUGGGGUAAUGGCCGGCCAAGGCGGGGACGGGGAGCCGGCCUGAGAGGGGGGACGGUGGAACUGAGACAGGGACACGGCCCAGACGCGAGGGAGAGGCAGCAGUGGGGAAUAUUGGGCAAUAAGCGGAAGCCUGAUGCAGCGAGGCGGCGUAGGGGAUGACGGGCUUGGAGUUGUAAACUCCUUUGGAACGAGAGGAAGCCACCUGGUUGGAAGGGUGGUGACGGUAGUGGUAGAAGAAGCACCGGCUAACUACGUG
This 494-nucleotide ribosomal RNA is filed under the name uncultured bacterium. Its description in RNAcentral is "partial 16S ribosomal RNA". It matches the Rfam family "Bacterial small subunit ribosomal RNA", at positions 28 to 507 of the family's 1533-position model. The record is from RNAcentral.